GCACAAACAAUGAGUAAGGAAUUUACUGAUUGCUAUAAAACGAGAUGUGUGUGAUCCAACACAGAGAGUUACAGGACCUGUAGAUCUCAUACUACUUUCUUGGCUCUCUUUGAUAACAUCUUUUUGACUUUCACCCUUAGUCAGUGGAAAGAAGAUGAAGUGCAUUACGCUCUUUCUUAUUUUGUCACUGGUCAUCCCCAUGGCUGAACCUAGGAGAGGUUUUGUUCGCCACUUUUACAAAACACUGUCUCAUGGCGGAAAGUUUAUCCGUGGGGCUGUCAAAUAUGUCAAGAAACUUGGCGUGAAUGAGCAACAAGAUCUGGUCAAACGUUCAUUUAAUCAAGAGCAGGCAGCUUUUGAUUAGACCUUCUGAAUCUAUGAUGGUCCCUCUGAAAGAGCCGCUGUACAACUUUGUUUUAGAUGAAAAUAAAUGCUUCUUGCUUUUCAACAUAAAAAAGUACCGACUCAUUGCUUCAAUAUAUUGACCGAAUUGAUCUUGGACAUUUGGAAUAAAUCUGCUUUUCUGCAAAUCUGAUGUGAUACAUCAAAA
Molecule: long non-coding RNA, 550 nt
Organism: Micropterus salmoides (largemouth bass)
Lineage: Eukaryota; Metazoa; Chordata; Actinopteri; Centrarchiformes; Centrarchidae
Exons: 4
Source: RefSeq, a predicted model, not a curated record